UAGAACUAUUAUUCUGAUGAAUCGAAUGAGGGAGUAACGUCCUGAAAGGUUCACGUUAAAACUACGGACGGCUAUGCAGUGUGAAAUGCAGAGGUCGUAAGCCCGUGGAAGUCGUGCGAGAGCAGUCCUAACGAAGAAAUUUAUUUCAGACGAGGAAAGUGCCGCAGAGGUGCGGUGUACUGCCCAUAGUGCGGUCGGCGGUGCA
Non-coding RNA from Ruminococcus flavefaciens 007c, 205 nucleotides. Lineage: Bacteria; Bacillati; Bacillota; Clostridia; Eubacteriales; Oscillospiraceae. The record is from Rfam.